This is a long non-coding RNA of Nerophis ophidion (straightnose pipefish), 1668 nucleotides long. RefSeq lists it as uncharacterized. The transcript is spliced from 2 exons. Lineage: Eukaryota; Metazoa; Chordata; Actinopteri; Syngnathiformes; Syngnathidae. The record is from RefSeq and is a predicted model, not a curated record.
ACUUGUUGAAAUGGACAUCCUGUGGAGACUAAAGUGCAGUCUGCUGCAAGUGUCUGUGGCUGAGUCUUAAGAGGAUCUCGGGGAACCUGUGGAAUUUGGAGAUAUGCGUGAUGUGGUAGAUCUGCGGGAUGGAUGGGCCGGGGGUGCCAACACAGAGCGCUCAGUCACAGCGACGGUGCUUUCAGGAAUGUGGAGGAAGCUCCCAACAAGGACACAAGUCAGGCUGGAGGCACAAUGUGGACUUUGUGGUCUCGGGUUCCACUCCUGCAACCUCUACACCUAUUCUCUUCAUCUAAAACUGACCACAAUCACAACUAUUAUCUCCGCGCUGGCCCGCUUUUGGACACAGCUCCUGUAUUGGACGCCUGUGUACCUAAUGAAGUGACCGCGGAGCACACUAAAUAUUAGAUAAAAAGACUAAAUUUUAAGGAAAAUAUAUUGAAAACUAGUAAAAAGAUCCGUCUAUGCAGCUAGUUAAUUUUACUUGAUAAAACAUCCUAAGUUAAGAUUUCUUUAUCUAUAUAUUAGCAGGACUUUUAAGGCGGAAAAGGGUAUUUUAACCUGAAAACAAAUAUUAUUCAAAUGAAUAAUGUUGAAGAAUCUUUCAAUAAAAUUUUUAAAUUUUUAAAUUAAGAGAAAAUGUAAUUAUUCAACCUUAAAGUAAGAUUAUGAUGUAAAGUCAAUGGCUAAAAAUAAGUUAAAAGCUCUUAAAACUAGGUGUACCUAAUGAAGUGACCACUGAGCACACAAAAUAUUAGAUAAAAAGACUUGAUUUUAAUGAAAUUUUUCUAAAAACUAGUGAAAUGAUCUGACCAUGCUGCUAGUUAAUUUUACUUGAUAAAACAUCCUGAGUUAAGAUUUUUAUAUCUGUAAAUUAGCAGGACUUUUAAGACAGAAAAAGGUAUUUUAUUCUGAAAACAAAUAUUGUUCAAAUAGAGCAUCUGGAAUUUCAGAAUUUCUCUACAAUAUUUUUACAUUUUUAAAUUACAAUAGAGAAAAUAUAUUUAUUCAAGCUUAAAGUAAUAUUAGGAUGUAAAGUCAAUGGCUAAAAAUAAGUAAAAAGCACUUAAAACUAGUUGUACCUAAUGAAGUGACCACUGAGCAUACAAAAGAUUAGAUAAAAAGACUAGAUUUUAAGGAAUAAAUACUCAAAACUAUUGAAAUGAUCUGUCCAUGCAGCUAGUUAUUUUUACCUGAUAAAACAUCCUAAGUUAAAAUGUGUACAUCUAUAAAUUUGUCAUGUCUAUGUGAUCAUGUUUUGGUUUAGUCAUGUUCUGUUUGUUUUUUUGGCCACUCAGUUCCUGUUUUUGCACUUCCUGGUUUGUUUUGUCACCAUGACUACCCAUUAGUUUUCACCUGUCCUCAUGUCUCACACCUGUUUUCACUAAUCACCACAGUAUUAUUUAAGCCUGUCUGUUUCUGUUCUUCGUCCUGGCAACACCGCCUCCUUCAUACCUCCGACCACCAUCUCUCACCCUCGAUACCUCUACUCACGUCAUGCCAUGUUUCACAGUUCUAUGCCAAGUAAGUUUUUGUUUACAGUUCAUAGUUUCUGCCUUUGGGCAAGUCUUUGUUUUCUUUAGUCAAGUUUGUUGUCCGCCAUUGUGCGCGCCUUUUUUGUUUGUUCAUGUUUUUAGUUAUAUUGUUAUAAUAAAAAAUAUGUACUUA